RNAcentral lists this ribosomal RNA (376 nucleotides) under uncultured bacterium. Its description in RNAcentral is "bacterial SSU rRNA". It matches the Rfam family "Bacterial small subunit ribosomal RNA", at positions 524 to 898 of the family's 1533-position model. The record is from RNAcentral.
GACGGAGGGUGCAAGCGUUGUUCGGAAUCACUGGGCGUAAAGCGCGUGUAGGCGGUCAUAUAAGUCGAAUGUGAAAUACCGGGGCUUAACCUCGGCAGUGCAUUCGAUACUGUAUAGCUUGAGUACGGGAGAGGGAAGCGGAAUUCCAGGUGUAGAGGUGAAAUUCGUAGAUAUCUGGAGGAACACCGGUGGCGAAGGCGGCUUCCUGGACCGAUACUGACGCUGAGACGCGAAAGCGUGGGGAGCAAACAGGAUUAGAUACCCUGGUAGUCCACGCUGUAAACGGUGAGCAUUAGGUGUAGCGGGUAUUGACCCCUGCUGUGCCGCAGCUAACGCAUUAAGUGCUCCGCCUGGGGAGUACGGCCGCAAGGUUAAA